GUCCACGUAUGGCACAUGCAGCGUACGUGUCGCUUUCGCAGUCGGUAGCUAUAUUAUUAAUGUGGAGGCGCUGAUCACGAAAAAGACGGUGGUUCUCCUGCGCGAACCAGCACUGCCCCAAUUCGCAAACGAGAAACAGCUAGCAACUGGAACGGCAAACUUUUUUGCCCUUUUUUCAGACUGUUAUUCUGUCUCGGAUAACUAUGUCUCCUUCGGUCCCUGUGUUACUGCUGACACUGUCAUCAUUCCACCUUUCCUUGUUCUCUGCAUCAGCUCGUUCAUUUUGGACGUUUCACAAACAUCUUCAUGAGGCUCCUGAUGCUUUUAAGAUAUUGGGCAUGGACCCUUUUUUGGUGGCUCUGAGGGACGUCAACCAGGAUCCAAAGUUGAAGUGCCUCACAGCAACCCGCAUUGAUUUUGACCCUAAAGUCCCGUCAGCAACCUUCCAGUGGUCGUUCAGUGGAGACCAAAACACUCCAAGGAAAAAUGCCACGCUGCGUUUCACCAAGGGAACAUCUAUCGACACUACAAAGCUCUUAGUGGACAAUGGAAAUGGAGAGAUGAGCUAGCAGCGGCAACAAGCGCAGGACAAGACACCGCUCAUCCGCAUGUUGGUCGUUUUCUGUACGCUGAUAAUCCCCUGACAUGGGCUGUCAUGGAACUACGCUAUUUUGGCUAUCAAUGUACCUUGUGGGUUCGAAACACCAUGAAACACACUGUGUCGAAGAAAUGCUUUAAAAAGCAUGCCACUCUCUGUGCAAACGGUGUUUCUCUCUACGACAAAGCAACCUGCGGUGACUACUAAGCUUGAAACAAGAAUUUUGAAAACAUGUAAUGCAAAUAAAACGGUGUGCCAAAAACACAGCGCUAUGUUAAGCAUCCUAUGCCCUGUCCCGUCCUGAUGCGCUAUACAUUGAAUACUAUAAAUACCAAGAAGCCCUUCGUGCAGCCACAAUGAACACACCACCUUUGUAAGUGAAUAGUUUGAAUCCCGUUUACUGCUCUUGCUCCCAAAUUUGUGAAGUAAAAGCCACUCAUUGGCGUCUUCCCGAGA
Molecule: unclassified non-coding RNA, 1054 nt
Filed under: Rhipicephalus microplus (southern cattle tick)
Lineage: Eukaryota; Metazoa; Arthropoda; Arachnida; Ixodida; Ixodidae
Description: uncharacterized LOC119174129, transcript variant X3
Source: RNAcentral